RNAcentral lists this unclassified non-coding RNA (377 nucleotides) under plant metagenome. RNAcentral's name for it is "partial contains 5.8S ribosomal RNA, internal transcribed spacer 2, and large subunit ribosomal RNA". The stretch from base 1 to 104 matches the Rfam family "5.8S ribosomal RNA", at positions 51 to 154 of the family's 154-position model. The record is from RNAcentral.
AAAUGCGAUAAGUAAUGUGAAUUGCAGAAUUCAGUUAAUCAUCGAAUCUUUGAACGCACCUUGCGCUCCUUGGUAUUCCUUGGAGCAUGCCUGUUUGAGUAUCAUGAAAUCUUCAAAGUAAAUCUUUUGUUAACUCAAUUGGUUUCUACUUUGGUAUUGGAGGUCUUUGCAGCUUCACACCUGCUCCUCUUUGUUCAUUAGCUGGAUCUCAGUGUUAUGCUUGGUUCCACUCGGCGUGAUAAGUUAUCUAUCGCUGAGGACACUGUAAAAGGUGGCCAAGGUAAAUGCAGAUGAACCGCUUCUAAUAGUCCAUUGACUUGGACAAUACUUUUAUGAUCUGAUCUCAAAUCAGGUAGGACUACCCGCUGAACUUAAGC